Long non-coding RNA from Rosa rugosa (rugosa rose), 1634 nucleotides. RefSeq lists it as uncharacterized. Lineage: Eukaryota; Viridiplantae; Streptophyta; Magnoliopsida; Rosales; Rosaceae. The record is from RefSeq and is a predicted model, not a curated record. The transcript has 3 exons.
UGCAAUGGGUGUUUGUGAUGGAGUGAUGAGUAUUGGGUAGUCGAUGAUUUGCUGAUAAUCUGGUAGUUGUUGAUGGAGUGAUGGGUAUUUCGUUUCUGGAUUGUGUUUCUGGGUUUUGGGGGUUGUGUUUGAGGUAUAUGUAAUGGGUUUUGAGGUAGCUGUAAUGUGUUUGAGAAGCUAAGCGCCUUCUUCUUCUUCACAGAGAACUAGAAAGAGAACGGGAAGCUCUCAAGGCCUCAAUCAUCUUCUCCAGGGGUCUUUACCGAGCUUAUUCAGCAGAUGCAAGUAAAAGGUGCGCAGGUAUGGGUUUCUUUGAUGCCUCUCUUUAUGGUCCUUUUCAUGCUGGGGAUAAUUUGUUGAUUGUCUAAUGGUACUGCUAGAUCUUAGCUUAUAAUCAUUUCUAGGAAUUAUGUUUACUCUUGUUGUGAGAUUGGAGUUUCCACUGCUCUAUCCUUUUUAAAAAUGUAAAUUGUAACCAACAGUAACCCUUUCUUUCAUUAUAUCCAACUUUUCUUUAUCCAGCAAUUUUUUUAACCAAAUAGAUGACCUGGGAUUUUAGUCAAAGAAUUAUGUUGUGACUAGUUCACUUUCAUUUAUGCCAAUAUGCCUUGGUACGACCUUGCAGGUUGAGGAGUUGUAUUCAUUGGACAUUGAUUCUCUGAACAAUCUGAGGUAUGUCAGUAGCUGUUUAAGCUUUUGCCACCCUAUUAGAUAUAUUUAUAUAAUCUGUUUUAAGUUUCCUUUCUCUCUCCAUGGGCCUCUCCCUCUCAGCCCCUCUCUUUGAUCAUCAAGGCGUCGACGGCCCUCCCUCUCCUCGACAGUAAAUCGAUAAGACGAACUGACAGUCGAAUAGUUGUCUGGGUUAGGUAUGUGAUGUACUGUCAUAUACAUCAUGUUUGUAUUUUUCAGUAGUUUAGAAUUUAAGUCUCCUUGUUCUCUUCAUGUUUAUCUAUUCUGCUGUUUCCAUACUAUUCUUGUAAUCUUUGAUGACAGUUUUGAUAUCUGACUAACCUUUCAUAAUUCCAUUGUCAUUUGUUGAUUGUUAUUACUACUUGUGAACAUAUGGUUUUUGAACCAGAUUAUGAGAAAGGCAUAUCCUGCUUUUUAAUUGCUAUUGUCCAAUUAUCAUUUCCUUUUUUCUGACCAAAAGGAUAUCCAUCUCUUGACUACUUAUAAAGGUUAUGAUGAUCCAAUCUGUAUGGUCACCUCUCUCAAGUGUAAUUUCUUUUCUUUCAUCCAGAUUGCAGGUUGUUCUGGUAUUACUCCAAUGCUUCAGGUCAUUCACGCUACACUAAAAAAUCUUGAUGACACAACCAAGGGCCAGCGAUAAGUGUCAGAAGGAGAAGAGGAAGCAUACACUUAUCCUGCAUUUUCAAAGGAGAAAGCGAGUGCACUAGUGUUGCCCACUGCCACAUUUGUCAAUUCGUCCUAAGAAAUGUAUUAGUUUCAUAAGCUUUUGAUGUUCAAGUAGAUAGGGCAUGUACUAGAAUGCUUUUCUUAUUUUAAUGUUGGCUUGGAUGAAUGGGAAAUGCUCUCUUUUUACAUCUGAAGUUUAAAGUAUGGGUUGGAUUACUCAUUUAAUGGUUUUGCAAUGUUUUCUUUCUAAUUGAUCACUGUUCAUUAGGUCAAAAUGG